GGGCGCAAGCCUGAUGCAGCCAUGCCGCGUGUAUGAAGAAGGCCUUCGGGUUGUAAAGUACUUUCAGCAGUGAGGAAGGGGUGUAUGUUAAUAGCGUGCAUCUUUGACGUUAGCUGCAGAAGAAGCACCGGCUAACUCCGUGCCAGCAGCCGCGGUAAUACGGAGGGUGCGAGCGUUAAUCGGAAUUACUGGGCGUAAAGCGCAUGCAGGUGGUUUGUUAAGUCAGAUGUGAAAGCCCGGGGCUCAACCUCGGAAUUGCAUUUGAAACUGGCAGACUAGAGUACUGUAGAGGGGGGUAGAAUUUCAGGUGUAGCGGUGAAAUGCGUAGAGAUCUGAAGGAAUACCGGUGGCGAAGGCGGCCCCCUGGACAGAUACUGACACUCAGAUGCGAAAGCGUGGGGAGCAAACAGGAUUAGAUACCCUGGUAGUCCACGCCGUAAACGAUGUCUACUUGGAGGUUGUGGCCUUGAGCCGUGGCUUUCGGAGCUAACGCGUUAAGUAGACCGCCUGG
RNAcentral lists this ribosomal RNA (511 nucleotides) under Vibrio sp. SF0929-16. Its description in RNAcentral is "bacterial SSU rRNA". It matches the Rfam family "Bacterial small subunit ribosomal RNA", at positions 373 to 876 of the family's 1533-position model. Lineage: Bacteria; Pseudomonadati; Pseudomonadota; Gammaproteobacteria; Vibrionales; Vibrionaceae. The record is from RNAcentral.